UGUACGGAAUGGAUAAGCGCUGAAAGCAUCUAAGCGCGAAGCCAACUUCAAGAUAAGAUUUCCCACCGCAAGGGUAAGACCCCAGAAAGACUAUCUGGUUGAUAGGUCGAAGGUGUAAGUGCAGCAAUGUAUUUAGCUUAUCGAUACUAAUAGGUCGAGGACUUGACCAA
This 170-nucleotide ribosomal RNA is filed under the name Clostridioides difficile. Its description in RNAcentral is "partial 23S ribosomal RNA". It matches the Rfam family "Bacterial large subunit ribosomal RNA", at positions 2752 to 2925 of the family's 2925-position model. The record is from RNAcentral. Lineage: Bacteria; Bacillati; Bacillota; Clostridia; Peptostreptococcales; Peptostreptococcaceae.